RNAcentral lists this ribosomal RNA (117 nucleotides) under Haemophilus quentini. RNAcentral's name for it is "partial 16S ribosomal RNA". It matches the Rfam family "Bacterial small subunit ribosomal RNA", at positions 1 to 106 of the family's 1533-position model. The record is from RNAcentral. Lineage: Bacteria; Pseudomonadati; Pseudomonadota; Gammaproteobacteria; Pasteurellales; Pasteurellaceae. RNAcentral also lists the same sequence under 1 other name.
ACUUGAAUUGAAGAGUUUGAUCAUGGCUCAGAUUGAACGCUGGCGGCAGGCUUAACACAUGCAAGUCGAACGGUAACAUAAAGAAGCUUGCUUCUUUGAUGACGAGUGGCGGACGGG